CGAACGGUCACGGAAAUGAACCGACGGCGACGAAGAGGAAGGCGAAACGGUGAGGUGAAGCGGGCUGAGCCUAAUCGGAGAUGACGGAAAGUGACGGAGAGGAACGAGGGGUAAAGAGGGGUGACGAAAAGAGCCGAAGCUGGUGAAGCGGAGGGAGGGAAGAUGGCCGACAGGAGCCGGAGGGGCUUCGGGGGCUCGGCCGAGUGGGGGACGCCGGAGCCCGCGCUCUGCAGCGCCGGGACGCGGCUGCGCGGGGCGCUCCUCGCCCUCCCUGUCUCCCUAAGACACGUUUUCCUCCCGGGGGCACAAGAUGCAGAACGCGGAGGUCGCCAUCUUGGCCGCGUUCGAGCCCCGGGUGCGCGGGUCGCGCGGCGCCGCCGUCUGUCUGCAGAACGUUCGCACCUUCCCGAGCCGAACAGCUGCGUUCCGCGUCCCCGAGCCCGGGGCCGCGUGUCUUCUACGUUCCGGCCUCAGUGGGACCUCCCAGGCACGGAGGUGGCCGCGGCGCUGAGACCUCCCGGGUACGGAGGUCUUCCAGGCAUCAGCUCCACAAAGACCCGACUCCAAGUGAGGUCCCAUCCGAGGUGCCGGGUGGACGUGGCCUGCGGGAGAUGCUUUUCCACGCACUGCAGCGGUGUUGCCGGUGAGCUGGAGGUCAGGGCUCCGACAAGGAAGGAGACUGAGACUCAAUCUGACGCCUGUCACCCCAGCACUUUGGGAGGCCGAGGCGGGCGGGUCACGAGGUCAAGAGAUCGGGACCAGCCUGGCCGACGUGCUGAAACCCCGUCUCUACUAAAAAUACAAAAAUUAGCCGGACAGGGUGGCGCGCACCUGUGGUCCCAGCUACUCGGGAGGCUGAGGCAGGAGAAUGGCUUGAACCCGGGAGGCGGAGGUUGCAGUGAGCCGAGAUUGCGCCAUGGCACUCCAGCCUGGCGACAGAGGAAGGUCUCCAAAAAGAAAACAAAGAAGGUGGGCAUCUGUGUGAAGGCACGGAAGGGUGUCACGGGACCCUGUGACACACGGGUGGGGGUCCUCGGUGACAAGCUGGCGUGA
RNAcentral lists this long non-coding RNA (1053 nucleotides) under Saimiri boliviensis boliviensis (Bolivian squirrel monkey). RNAcentral's name for it is "lncRNA (ENSSBOG00000036624.1)". Lineage: Eukaryota; Metazoa; Chordata; Mammalia; Primates; Cebidae. The record is from RNAcentral.